Molecule: long non-coding RNA, 505 nt
Filed under: Gallus gallus (chicken)
Lineage: Eukaryota; Metazoa; Chordata; Aves; Galliformes; Phasianidae
Source: RNAcentral
UGCACAUUGGUCAGGGGUGGGUACGAGAUGAAGGCGCCCGCCUCGUCGAAGGAUGGCACGCUCACUGCCUCCCCUUCAGUGCAUCUCUCCCCCAUCUUGCCCAGGUGGCAGCGGCAACUGUAGCCAUGCCCAUCUGGCCGGCUGAUGCAGGUGGCAUCGGGCCCGCAUGCCUCUGGGUGGCAAUGCAGGGCCUGUGAGUACUCGCAGUUGCUGCCGGUGAAGCCCUGGGGACAGCGGCAGAUGUAGGUGCUGCUCUCCGCGUCCUCGCAGAUGCCACCGUUCUGUGGGGUGGGGACACAGAUAAGCACCAGGAACAGGACCAGUGGAAGGGGACAGUGUGCAUCAUCUCCAGCCUCACCUGGCAGGGCUGAUCCUGGCACGUGGGACAGUUGGAGACGCCAUGUGCCUGCAAGUCCAGCUCCCCAAAGGCCACCUCCUCGUUCUGGAUGCGCAGCUGGCGCACACAGCCUGUGGAACGCAGCGGGGGGACACACUCAGCCCCACC